Gadus morhua (Atlantic cod) is the source of this 2110-nucleotide long non-coding RNA. The record is from Ensembl. NCBI's taxonomy places the organism in Eukaryota, Metazoa, Chordata, Actinopteri, Gadiformes, Gadidae.
UACUUAUAAGGGGCAUUAUCAGUAUCAAUAUGUGCACACUCAAAAAAUCCAAAAUGCGAUGGCAUGUUUAAAGGACAUGAAUAAAUGGUAUAAGGACAUAGACUUUACGCAGAAUGGGAAAAUCCCUUGCCAGAAGAUGCAUGUUCUGUUUUGAAAGAAUGCAACCCAGUUAAUGACACUCCAUCUGCACCUGAAAGCAGUGACAUUACAACUCAAUCAGACCAGGUGUCGGAUGAUGAAGAAGCUGACCACAUAUAUGAAACUCAAACACACGGGUUACUCUUGGACACAUGUUUGCAACCUAUUGAUAUCGCACAAGAAAUAUUUGAUCAGCAUUUCGAAAGUGUUUUAUCAAUAGCUCCAGCUGAAGGCAACAGUCCUGUUAGGCUGCUGACAGAUAAGGGUAAUGAAGCAAAAUGUUUCCCAACUCUUUUCCCCAAAGGGACAGGUACAUUUCAUGAUGCACGGCCCCACAGGCUCACUCUCAGUAGAUACAUCAACACACAAAUCCUAAAUGCUGAUGGGAGGUUUAGCAGCAACUUGGACUACAUUUUCUAUGCUCAAUAUUUAUCUGAGGUCAAUCAGGUUGUUUCCAAGGUGUCAAUAGCAUUGAGAAAAGGUUACCAUGCAGGGGAAUCAUUGGCUAUAACUUCCGCCAUGCUUUCAAACAAAGACUAUGUACAAAAUAUCUUAAAAACCGAUCUCGGUUACAAGUUCCUUCAACCAAUCCGAGGGACUCCAGUUUUUUGGCAAGGUGUACAGAAAAAUCUAUUUGCUAACGUUCGUCAGCUUGGUGUCCCUACUUGGUUCUGUUCAUUUUCAUGUGCUGAUUUACGCUGGACUGAACUCAUCGAUGUUUUCAUGAGACUACAGAAAAUACAGGGAAAUGUCAACGACCUGGACUGGUCACAGAGGUGCAAUUUACUCAAAACUAAUCCGGUUACCGCGGCAAGAAUGUUCCAACACAGGUUUCAGACUUUCCUAAAUGACGUCAUCAAGUCACCAGCUAACCCCAUUGGUAAAGUUAUCGAGACAUUUUUUAGAGUUGAAUUCCAACAACGCGGCUCACCCCAUACACAUUGUCUGUUCUGGGUAGAAAAUGCACCGAAAAUAGGCAAAAACACAGACCAAGAAGUCACACAAUUUAUAGAUAAAUACAUCAGUUGUGAACUCCCGCCAGCAACCGACGCAUUGCAUGAAGUUGUUUCCAGCGUUCAAAAACACAGCUCCAAGCACUCAAAGAGUUGUAGGAAAAAAGGCACAACAUGCAGAUUUAACUUUCCACGUCCUCCAAGCAACCACACCUUUCUUUGCAGAAGUAAAACAGACGAGAACCAGGAGGUAACAGACGCUGAUCCGAUAGACAUCUCUAUAUUAGAAAUGCGAAAAGAAAAAGAGGUGGCUAAAAGUGUCAUGACAAGGGUCAAACAUGCUCUUUCAAGUCCAGACCUAACCUUUGACACUGUGGAUCAGCUAUUUGCUUCCAUUAACAUCACCCAGGAAACGUUUGAAAAUGCCUACCGAUUGACAACCAAUAAAAACGCGGUUGUACACAAACGCAACCCAUCAGAUGUUUACGUUAAUCAAUACAACAAAGACCUUUUGCGUUGCUGGGAUGCCAACAUUGACAUACAAUAUGUCUGCGAUGCUUUUGCUUGUGUAGUAUACAUAAUAUCCUACAUCUCAAAAGCAGAACAAGACAUGGGCUUAUUGUUACAACAUACUCAAAAUGAAAUGAAAAAACAUGGAAAUUUAGAUGCAAAACAAACACUCAAUAAAUUGGGAAGUGUCUUUCUCCACAAUCGCGAGGUCUCAGCUCAAGAAAGUGUUUAUCGAGUUACAAACAUGCAUCUCAACGAAAGCUCAAGACUGGUCACAUUUAUCCCUACUGGUGAAAAUACCGUCAGAAUGAGUUUUCCUCUCAGUGUCAUUCAAAGCAAAGCAGAACAGGGUGACACAUCAUCAGACUCAAUAUGGAUGACGAGCAUAACGGACCGCUACAAAAACCGCCCCCAGGGCGCAAUUUUCCAUGAUAUUUGUAUAGCCACAUUUGUUUCAAAAUACAGAGUUCUGUACGGGAAAGAGCAGCACAGCAAGGGCUCUGUUAAAC